AACGAACGCUGGCGGCAUGCCUAACACAUGCAAGUCGAACGAGACCUUCGGGUCUAGUGGCGCACGGGUGCGUAACGCGUGGGAACCUGCCCUUAGGUUCGGAAUAACUCCCCGACAGGGGUGCUAAUACCGGAUAAUGUCUUCGGACCAAAGAUUUAUCGCCUUUGGAUGGGCCCGCGUUGGAUUAGCUAGUUGGUAGGGUAAAAGCCUACCAAGGCGAGGAUCCAUAGCUGGUCUGAGAGGAUGAUCAGCCACACGGGGACUGAGACACGGCCCAGACUCCUACGGGAGGCAGCAGUGGGGGAUGAAGGACAGUGGGCGAAAGCCUGAACCAGCAAUGCCGCGUGAGUAAUGAAAGCCUGAAAGUUGUAAAGCUCAUUUAACCGGGAAGAUAAUGACGGUACCGAGAGAAAAAGCUCCGGCUAACUCCGUG
This 433-nucleotide ribosomal RNA is filed under the name uncultured bacterium. RNAcentral's name for it is "partial 16S ribosomal RNA". It matches the Rfam family "Bacterial small subunit ribosomal RNA", at positions 29 to 507 of the family's 1533-position model. The record is from RNAcentral.